RNAcentral lists this unclassified non-coding RNA (344 nucleotides) under Hevea brasiliensis (rubber tree). Lineage: Eukaryota; Viridiplantae; Streptophyta; Magnoliopsida; Malpighiales; Euphorbiaceae. The record is from RNAcentral.
GAUAAAGCCUUAACUUUAUUUUUAUCUGAACUAAUAAAAAUCAAGAUAAUGGAAUGAGGAGAACUUGAUUUGGCGUACAUGGUUUGGCUGCUUAUAGUUUAAUCUGGAUGAUCUAAGUUGCUGUAGAAAAUUCAUUAUACCUGCCCUCAUAAGCCUGUUUGGGAAACAAAUGAGAGAAAAUUUCCAUUUCUAGGUAGCUCGAGAAUCAUGCUUGCACAUUAUUCAACACUGGUCGGUGUUGUGGAAGUUUACUUUUCUUUUCCCACUUGACUUUUCCUUUCUUUCACUUUCCUUUUAUCAGUACUCGAGAGGAAUCUAGUGACGAUUGUUUUGGGGAACUCUGG